UGGUUACUGAACAUGACUUGGUGAGUCGUUCCACCGAAUUUGAAGCCUCUAUACAAAAUGGGGAGAAAACGUUGCUGCGAGCGUUGUGUGAUAAAAAGUCGGAGGUUUCUACAUCUGAAUAUGACAGAGAGACCUGGGCCUUUUUGAAGGUUAUGUUCGAAGAAGAAGGAACAGCUAGGACAAAAUUACUUGCCCAUUUAGGUUUUAAUGCACCUAGUGAUGCAAGUGACAACGGUCAUGAUGAACUUGGCAAGAAAUUAACGAA
RNAcentral lists this unclassified non-coding RNA (265 nucleotides) under Hevea brasiliensis (rubber tree). The record is from RNAcentral. Lineage: Eukaryota; Viridiplantae; Streptophyta; Magnoliopsida; Malpighiales; Euphorbiaceae.